CCUACGGGCGGCAGCAGUGGGGAAUAUUGCACAAUGGGGGAAACCCUGAUGCAGCGACGCCGCGUGAGUGAAGAAGUAUUUCGGUACGUAAAGCCCUGUCAGCAGGGAAGAAAGCAAUGACGGUACCUGACCAAGAAGCCCCGGCUAACUACGUGCCAGCAGCCGCGGUAAUACGUAGGGGGCAAGCGUUAUCCGGAAUUACUGGGUGUAAAGGGAGCGUAGACGGCUGUGCAAGUCUGGAGUGAAAGGCGGGGGCCCAACCCCCGGACUGCUCUUGAAACUGUAUGGCUGGAGUGCAGGAGAGGUAAGCGGAAUUCCUAGUGUAGCGGUGAAAUGCGUAGAUAUUAGGAGGAACACCAGUGGCGAAGGCGGCUUACUGGACUGUAACUGACGUUGAGGCUCGAAAGCGUGGGGAGCAAACAGGAUUAGAUACCCUUGUAGUC
This 443-nucleotide ribosomal RNA is filed under the name uncultured bacterium. RNAcentral's name for it is "partial 16S ribosomal RNA". It matches the Rfam family "Bacterial small subunit ribosomal RNA", at positions 338 to 795 of the family's 1533-position model. The record is from RNAcentral.